This 324-nucleotide long non-coding RNA is filed under the name Elaeis guineensis (African oil palm). RNAcentral's name for it is "long non-coding RNA (EGUI_LNC003865)". The record is from RNAcentral. Lineage: Eukaryota; Viridiplantae; Streptophyta; Magnoliopsida; Arecales; Arecaceae.
UGGGCCUUAAGACUCUUGGCUAACUUUUGAGCCGUGUCCACGCCCAUAUAUGCAACAAAGGAAGAUCGGCACAGUUUAGAAACAGAGCCAUGGAAAAAGGAGAGUUCUGGAGCUAACCUAGGCUGGUCUGAAGAAUGCAGAGAUGCAGAGAUGGGGAUGACUCGAAGAAUGCCUAAGGUCGAAAAGGACACUGAGGAAGGAUGGAACUCUCAGGAAGAAGGGACCGAAAAAACUUUCAGGCAAAGUGAAAUGCCUGAAGGAGGGAGGCAGGUUUAAAUAGGCGACGAGGUCCGACAGAAUAAUGAUCGUGGAUCUCCUCUGGCC